CAGUGAGGAAUCUUCCACAAUGGGCGAAAGCCUGAUGGAGCAACGCCGCGUGCAGGAUGAAGGCCUUCGGGUUGUAAACUGCUUUUAUUUGUGAAGAAUAUGACGGUAACAAAUGAAUAAGGAUCGGCUAACUACGUGCCAGCAGCCGCGGUCAUACGUAGGAUCCGAGCGUUAUCCGGAGUGACUGGGCGUAAAGAGUUGCGUAGGUGGUUUGUAAAGCGAAUAGUGAAAUCUGGCGGCUCAACCGUACAGGCUAUUAUUCGAACUCACAAACUCGAGAGUGGUAGAGGUUACUGGAAUUUCUUGUGUAGGAGUGAAAUCCGUAGAUAUAAGAAGGAACACCAAUGGCGUAGGCAGGUAACUGGACCAUUUCUGACACUGAGGCACGAAAGCGUGGGGAGCGAACCGGAUUAGA
RNAcentral lists this ribosomal RNA (415 nucleotides) under uncultured bacterium. Its description in RNAcentral is "bacterial SSU rRNA". It matches the Rfam family "Bacterial small subunit ribosomal RNA", at positions 352 to 782 of the family's 1533-position model. The record is from RNAcentral.